This 497-nucleotide ribosomal RNA is filed under the name uncultured bacterium. Its description in RNAcentral is "partial 16S ribosomal RNA". It matches the Rfam family "Bacterial small subunit ribosomal RNA", at positions 28 to 507 of the family's 1533-position model. The record is from RNAcentral.
GAUGAACGCUGGCGGCGUGCCUAAUACAUGCGAGUCGAGCGAACAGACGAGGAGCUUGCUCCUCUGACGUUAGCGGCGGACGGGUGAGUAACACGUGGAUAACCUACCUAUAAGACUGGGAUAACUUCGGGAAACCGGAGCUAAUACCGGAUAAUAUAUUGAACCGCAUGGUUCAAUAGUGAAAGACGGUCUUGCUGUCACUUAUAGAUGGAUCCGCGCCGCAUUAGCUAGUUGGUAAGGUAACGGCUUACCAAGGCAACGAUGCGUAGCCGACCUGAGAGGGUGAUCGGCCACACUGGAACUGAGACACGGUCCAGACUCCUACGGGAGGCAGCAGUAGGGAAUCUUCCGCAAUGGGCGAAAGCCUGACGGAGCAACGCCGCGUGAGUGAUGAAGGUCUUCGGAUCGUAAAACUCUGUUAUUAGGGAAGAACAAAUGUGUAAGUAACUAUGCACGUCUUGACGGUACCUAAUCAGAAAGCCACGGCUAACUACGUG